UUUGAUUCCAAAGUGUAAUAUCAAGAAGUGUAAUGCUGAUAAAGUUGAACUUUGAGUAACGUAAGUUCAUUUGUUCAGUGCAUUGUGCAUUUUCACUAAAAAAUUAAUAUAAUGAUAUCCUACUAAUGUCGCUUCACUAAAAGUUAAUUAGGAAUCAGAGUCUAAUGUUUGAAAUUAUGAGGUUAAAUUACAUGUCCAAAAGGAAAAAAUUGUUAUAGAUUCAUUUGCAAUGAAAGGAGAACAAAAUACAGGUGGAAAAAACAUCAUCACGCUUUUCAGUAGAAAAGAAUACCUUCCAUUAAACUUUAUUUUAAAAGUUGUCAUCUUAAAAUUGCUUAAGCAUUUGAAUAAUCUUACUAAAGUGCUGUACAUUAAAAUGAAAAACUUGGGAAUUAAGUAGAAAAUAACACCUUCCAUUAAACUUUAUUUUACAAUUAUCUUAAAA
Molecule: long non-coding RNA, 445 nt
Organism: Candoia aspera
Lineage: Eukaryota; Metazoa; Chordata; Lepidosauria; Squamata; Candoiidae
Exons: 2
Source: RefSeq, a predicted model, not a curated record